AUAUACUUUAUUUUAUAUGAUACGUCAUAAAAUGUAAUAAUAUCUGAUUUAGAGACAUUUUUGGAAUUUUUGCCACGUUUUGGCGAUUUUGCACCACUGUGCGGCGGUGUUGCGUAAGGAGGCGGGAUUCGCUUAUGGGUGGUGCAGUAGGGAUAUAUGCGCUCCUCUCGCUGUUUUAAUCUUUCUCUUUCUAAUUCGAGUAUAUUCCUUUACUCUUCCUGCCAUAGUAAAGAUUUUGAUAUUCAUUAAAAUAUAAUACAUUUUACAAGAUUGUUUUGAUCUUAACAUUAUAGGAAGAAACAUGUUUUUCAAUAUUAAUACAGAUUACUGAAUUUAAACGAAUGCUAAAUAAAAGUUUGAAUUCGCAUCUUGGACUGACCGGCGUGGAGGAAAUGCGAUAUUACAGUAUUUAAUGAAUUAACAUAAAAUUCGGAUUAUUAUAAUGUAUGUAUAAGGAAUUUCGAUCAUCUUCGCGGAGCCGAUAAGGAACGUUCUAGAGUGGUCAAAAUUAUCGGACCACACGAAUGAUGUUUCGGGUUUACAUCCGGCGAUACUCAGAACCAAAGACGACACGUGAUUUUGAGCCGUGGGACCACGCUGAUUUCGAGGAAGGAAUUUAUUACACUAACAAUCGGGAUUAUGUCUGGAAAAGAUAGACUAUCUCGAAAUAUCAAGGAUCGUUUUUGCGUUCAAUCAUGGGAGGUCCAGAAUGUAAAACAAUCCAUCGAUGUUCAUGGUUUCCGUUUAUACCUCUAACCAAGGUCAAAGGUACAACGGAUCAAGAUGAUGGGGGUCAGACCCAUCAAAAAGAGGACAGAAGGGGGGGGGGGGGGGAGACAACAUGACUUUCACCUUGACAAUCGACGAUGACUGCAUUAACAAUGCAAUCCCAAAAUGAUGGGAAUAAUUUGUGUGAGGGUGGAAGGGACAGUUGACAGUACCCAGCAUUAACAAAUGCCUCAGUUAAUACAGAGGACGAUUCAGUGAUGGGGGGGGGAUACAUGAUGAAUGUGUAAAAAUUUCUGUCCGAAACGUAACACUAAUCUCAGGUUUUAAAGUUUGGGGGGGGAUGUUUUCUCAGUGCUUUAUAAACCGAAGCGUUUUCGUUUCUACGACUCAUUAUAUUCUUCCAUUCAAUAUGGCUACCAUUCCCCGCUUGCUACCAACUCCUCGCAUUCAAGGCAAUCGCUGAAUAUCAUUUCGAAAUUAUACCGUUCUUUGAAUUGGCAAAAAGGGAGGAGGCGGUGGUGCUGCCCACGAAUUGUCAAGAGCGGCAGUAGCGGCGCCGCGAAUACAAAAGGCGUUGAAACGCAUCGUGGACGGAGGUCGAUUUAUUCGACCUUCGUUAUCUAUUCUGGGAGGAAAUCGAUCCAGAUUUUUGGUAGCCGCAAAGAUCGAAAGUUUUGAAAUAUUUU
Osmia bicornis bicornis is the source of this 1415-nucleotide long non-coding RNA. RefSeq lists it as uncharacterized. The record is from RefSeq and is a predicted model, not a curated record. Lineage: Eukaryota; Metazoa; Arthropoda; Insecta; Hymenoptera; Megachilidae. The transcript is spliced from 3 exons.